AAUCCAUAGGUUAAUGAGGCGAACCGGGGGAACUGAAACAUCUAAGUACCCCGAGGAAAAGAAAUCAACCGAGAUUCCCCCAGUAGCGGCGAGCGAACGGGGAGGAGCCCAGAGCCUGAAUCAGCAUGUGUGUUAGUGGAAGCGUCUGGAAAGGCGCGCGAUACAGGGUGACAGCCCCGUACACAAAAGCGCAUGUGCUGUGAGCUCGAUGAGUAGGGCGGGACACGUGGUAUCCUGUCUGAAUAUGGGGGGACCAUCCUCCAAGGCUAAAUACUCCUGACUGACCGAUAGUGAACCAGUACCGUGAGGGAAAGGCGAAAAGAACCCCGGCGAGGGGAGUGAAAAAGAACCUGAAACCGUGUACGUACAAGCAGUGGGAGCACCCUUUGGGGUGUGACUGCGUACCUUUUGUAUAAUGGGUCAGCGACUUAUAUUCUGUAGCAAGGUUAACCGAAUAGGGGAGCCGGAGGGAAACCGAGUCUUAAUUGGGCGUUAAGUUGCAGGGUAUAGACCCGAAACCCGGUGAUCUAGCCAUGGGCAGGUUGAAGGUUGGGUAACACUAACUGGAGGACCGAACCGACUAAUGUUGAAAAAUUAGCGGAUGACCUGUGGCUGGGGGUGAAAGGCCAAUCAAACCGGGAGAUAGCUGGUUCUCCCCGAAAGCUAUUUAGGUAGCGCCUCGUGAAUUCAUCUCCGGGGGUAG
This 703-nucleotide ribosomal RNA is filed under the name Salmonella enterica subsp. enterica serovar Agona. RNAcentral's name for it is "partial 23S ribosomal RNA". It matches the Rfam family "Bacterial large subunit ribosomal RNA", at positions 161 to 905 of the family's 2925-position model. Lineage: Bacteria; Pseudomonadati; Pseudomonadota; Gammaproteobacteria; Enterobacterales; Enterobacteriaceae. RNAcentral also lists the same sequence under 1 other name. The record is from RNAcentral.